RNAcentral lists this ribosomal RNA (253 nucleotides) under uncultured bacterium. RNAcentral's name for it is "partial 16S ribosomal RNA". It matches the Rfam family "Bacterial small subunit ribosomal RNA", at positions 524 to 776 of the family's 1533-position model. The record is from RNAcentral.
UACGAAGGGUGCAAGCGUUACUCGGAAUUACUGGGCGUAAAGCGUGCGUAGGCGGUUUGUUAAGUCUGUCGUGAAAGCCCCGGGCUCAACCUGGGAAUGGCGAUGGAAACUGGCGAGCUAGAGUACGGUAGAGGAGAGUGGAAUUCCCGGUGUAGCAGUGAAAUGCGUAGAGAUCGGGAGGAACAUCAGUUGCGAAGGCGGCUCUCUGGACCAGUACUGACGCUGAGGCACGAAGGCCAGGGGAGCAAACGGG